Molecule: transfer RNA, 69 nt
Filed under: Ovis aries (sheep)
Lineage: Eukaryota; Metazoa; Chordata; Mammalia; Artiodactyla; Bovidae
Rfam family: tRNA
About the family: Transfer RNA (tRNA) molecules are approximately 80 nucleotides in length. Their secondary structure includes four short double-helical elements and three loops (D, anti-codon, and T loops). Further hydrogen bonds mediate the characteristic L-shaped molecular structure. tRNAs have two regions of fundamental functional importance: the anti-codon, which is responsible for specific mRNA codon recognition, and the 3' end, to which the tRNAs corresponding amino acid is attached (by aminoacyl-tRNA synthetases). tRNAs cope with the degeneracy of the genetic code in two manners: having more than one tRNA (with a specific anti-codon) for a particular amino acid; and 'wobble' base-pairing, i.e. permitting non-standard base-pairing at the 3rd anti-codon position.
Source: Rfam by way of RNAcentral
CCUGGUGGCUCAGAUGGUAAAGAAUCUGCCUGAAAUGCAGGAGACCUGGGUUCAAUCCCCGGGUCAGGA